Molecule: non-coding RNA, 85 nt
Organism: Felis catus (domestic cat)
Lineage: Eukaryota; Metazoa; Chordata; Mammalia; Carnivora; Felidae
Source: Rfam
GCCUGGGUGGCUCAGUCAAUUAAGCGUCCGACUUCAGAUCAGGUCAUGAUCUAGCAGUUUGUGGGUUCAAGCCCCACGUCGGGCU